UACGUAGGGCGCAAGCGUUGUCCGGAAUUAUUGGGCGUAAAGAGCUCGUAGGCGGUUUGUCGCGUCUGCUGUGAAAACCUAAGGCUCAACCUUGGGCUUGCAGUGGGUACGGGCAGACUAGAGUGCGGUAGGGGUGACUGGAAUUCCUGGUGUAGCGGUGGAAUGCGCAGAUAUCAGGAGGAACACCGAUGGCGAAGGCAGGUCACUGGGCCGCAACUGACGCUGAGGCGCGAAAGCUGGGGGAGCAAACAGG
RNAcentral lists this ribosomal RNA (253 nucleotides) under uncultured bacterium. Its description in RNAcentral is "partial 16S ribosomal RNA". It matches the Rfam family "Bacterial small subunit ribosomal RNA", at positions 524 to 776 of the family's 1533-position model. The record is from RNAcentral.